GGAAGUGUUUAGGAAAGCUGUGUAAGUCACAUGCAGGUGUGACUAGGCUGCACAAACAAAGUGAUCUAACUCCUAAAUGGCAGAGAAUUGAGCAGUGAGACUGUAGGGGCACGAUCUGUACACCAAAACUGCUUCAUUAAGCUAAAGUUGUUUUGGUGACUAUAGUGUCCCUUUAAGGGCUGAAAUAAAAAAAAAUAAAAAAACCUGAGGUGUCUUUAACAGCCAUCGACUCUCUUUUUUUGUUAUCCAUUGUGUAGGAUGACAAGCAGGUAGCU
This is a non-coding RNA of Pelobates cultripes (western spadefoot toad), 275 nucleotides long. The record is from the annotation of a GenBank genome assembly. NCBI's taxonomy places the organism in Eukaryota, Metazoa, Chordata, Amphibia, Anura, Pelobatidae.